GGGUCCUUCUCACUGCCUGGGGUCCGAGGCAUAGAGGCCGGGGUGCCGGGUCUGGCCUCGGGGUCCCCGGGCACCGCGGCAAGGCAGGCCGGUCAGGGGGGCCACGCCUGGGACGGUGCCCCCCAGCGCUGGCCAAGGGCCUCUGGCCGAGCUCCCCAGUGCGCGGAUCUCAGAGCCCGGCGUCCUGCGCCUCCGGCCCCCGCUGGCCACCGGGACCCAGGCUGCCCGGCCCUAACUGUCUGCCCCGAGGGCCCUGGGAUCGCUGCUGUCCCGCAGGGCAGAGCUCUCCUCCCCGCUGUCCCGCCCGGCGCCUCCACCUGCAGCUGCCCGGGGGGGCGACCCGGGCCACUCACGUGCCAGAUGGCGAAGAAGAUGAGCGCGGCGCACAGCACGAGGGCCAGCAUGUAGCAGAAGGCGGCGAAGGUGAAGGCCAUGGCGCGGCGACCCGCGAGGCUUCCAGCGCCGCGCGCCCAGGUCAGGGCUCUGCUGUCCCGCCCUCCCCCAGCCCUGUGUCACCUUCUGGUGUCUAGAACAACAAACAUCUGGGUAAAGGAGACUGAGAUUGCAGAACCUAAGAACCCCGGCUAGUGCUCAUUAAUCAAAAGCUGUAGUUGAUGCCCCCGUACACCAGCACUUUGAGGACCCACAGGCUCCAGUCUGUCAGUGCUACUGAUGUGAAUACUGGAUGCAGAUCGUUCUUCAUUCGUGUUGAGACCUGUGGGAUUUGUCACCUGCAGCGGGAACAGUCGCUGAGCAGAAAGUGAUUAAGAAGACGCAGAGGCAGGGAGCUCUCUGCAGACUUAGCAAGUCAGAGGCGCCCCACCUCCCCACCCACCCCCAGGAACCCAGACUGCAGGGAGGACCACUUGGAGCCUCACAGCCAGGAGCCAGGGGUCCCCACAACAAGCUGUGCUGAGCGGCCUCCACCU
Molecule: long non-coding RNA, 929 nt
Filed under: Heterocephalus glaber (naked mole-rat)
Lineage: Eukaryota; Metazoa; Chordata; Mammalia; Rodentia; Bathyergidae
Description: lncRNA (ENSHGLG00100050473.1)
Source: RNAcentral